GCGGCACCCCCUUCCUUCUCUCCGGCCGACGACCCCUCUUCUUCUCUUCACUGUCGCCGCCCGACCAUCCACAAUCUACUCUUAUUCUUCUCGAUUCCAGCGGCGACGACAGAGGCAAACUCGGCAGGGGGCAGCAAGCUUCGGUGACGACUCCGAUCAAGCUCAACUCGCCGGAGAGGGCUUCUCCGGUGUUUACCUUCUUCCCUCGAACCCUAGAAGUCGGCCGCAGCGGGUUGCAAAAGCUAGGUCUUCAAGGUUCGGUGGUGGCAACGAGCUCCGUCCAACUUCACUUCGCCAGAGGGGUUCUCUGGUGUGAUCUCCAUCGUUUGAUUCCUUCUGGCAGCUCCACCAUUUGGGGUUCAGGCGGCAAGGCAAGGAGGCAGCGGCGGUGGUUCAUUCCAUUUCACGACAUCUCCAUUUCCAGUCAACUUCCAGUGAGAGGGUUCUUCGGUGGAAGAUUCGUUCAUCACAUUAUCGUUGUCGAAGUGUGUAGCAUUCCAGCAGUGAGCUACUGUUCACUAGAGUUCGGGAUUUGAUCAUCGGAUCCUCAUGUGACGACGAGGGUAAUCUUUGGUAUUGGAAAUUGGAGUGUGGAUUGUGGUGUGGUAAUUUAGUUCUGCUCAUUGUUGAUAUUUGUGUUGAAUUUUGAUUGAAUGCUUAUAUUGAGCUUAAUUUCCUAUGUUUGAAUUACAUUGUUCUUGUUUCAUUUAUUUCAUGCAUGUAAUGUGUUCGAUGAAUUGCUUCAACCAAUAGUUAGGUUUAUUUUGAUGCAUUUUAGUUUGGUUAAUUCUUGCUUGUCUUGUUCUUCCAAUUUCUUUAAGUUCUAGUUCUUUAUUUGAAUGCAAUUAGGAUAGAUUAGCUUAGGUUUCAUUUCAUGCUUUAUGUUUCGUUUUAUGCUUUACUUCAUGUUGUCUUUUAUUUUCUACAAUUGUAGUUAUGUUAGGUUUAGCUUUAUUACUUGCAUUGUCUUUCAUUUAUUAGAUUAGCUUUCAUUUAAUGCUUUACUAUUUUCUUCCUUAGUUUAAUUGUGUUGAUGGUUGAACCAUAACGUAGAGUGACAAUGCGUUGUGGAUUAAUUGUUGGCAUUUAGUUAGAUUUCAUUACAGCAUUAUAUUAGUUUCGUACUUGCUUUGCUUUUCAUUUGUUAGGUUUAGAAUUAAAAUCCAAAACCCCCAUUUCUAUAUUAAAAAUCUCAAAAAUAGGAAUAACAUACGAUUCUAAGUUUAUCACUUACUGUUACAUUCGUUGGCAGACGACCCGAGUCAUUUCUAUGCUACAUUAGCAUAGGAGGGGUUUGGUACUUCAUUGUUUGAUGCCCAUUUCACGACAAAAUUAGGUCAUAAUCAAAUUGGCAUCGUUGCCAGAGAUGAGUAGCGGUGUUUGGUAAUUUUAGGAUUAUUUUCUAUUUUCUCUCUUUUCUUGUUUCUAUUUUUUGUGGUUGCAAAAAUUCAAAAAGAUUAUUAGGGCCUUAAUUAUUUCAUCUCUUGUAUGCAUGUGUGCUAUCUUGUAUAUUUUCAUGUGUCUUUUGAUGGUAUUUGCAUGAGUAUUUCAGGCAAGACUAGGAAAUCUCUUGUGCGUUAUCAGUAGUUCCAGAGUUUUAGUGUGAUCAGGAUCUCAGAUUUGAUGAGUACUAUGGAGAACGACACUGAAAAGACUCAGAGAGCUUUGGGCAUCAGAUUUAUCAGUUGAUUCAUUUUGCAUCAGAUAUUCUGAUUUAGAGGCAGACUUCGAGUUAUGACAUAUUGUUCAACUAUUACCGAAGUUUCAUGGACUUUUUGAUGAAGAUCCUAACAGACAUCUACAAGAAUUGGAUAUGGUGUGCUCUUCAUGGAACCCACUUGGCAUAUCAGGAGGAUCGCAGCUAUUCGGAGGAGUAUUUGUGGAAUUCAACAAUUUACAGGAGAACCGUUUCAAGAAUAUUGGGAAAGAUUUAGAAGACUUGUUGCUAGUUGCCCUCAGCACCAGAUAAGCGAUGAGCUACUGAUUAUAUACUUCUAUGAGGGAUUGCUUUUCAUGGACAGGAGUAUGGUUGAAGCAGCUAAUGGAGGGACUCUAGUUAACAAGACACCUACUCAAGCUAGAGAACUUAUCGAGAUUAUGACUUCAAAUUAUCAGCAGUAUGAGACUAGACCGAUGAUUGCUAAAGAUGUUCAUUCCUUUGCCAAUGUAUUCUCGACCAGGAUCCAGUAUCAGCAGCCUGAUCCUCAGUAUUAUCAGACUCAUUAGCAGGAUAAGUAUAAUUCAUUUGCAGGAUUCGAGUAUGGGAAUACACAACAAGGGACUUCUAAGUGGCCCUAGUCUUACUAGCUUUACUUUCAGCACCAUCAGCCUGAGCAGGAUCUUAGGGAGCAAUCACAACUAUUUUGGCAACAACAAGACACACAAUUCAAGGAAAGAACACAUUCAUCGGCAUAGUUAUAGUUGCUAUCAGAUCAACCUACUGCAUCAAUUCCUGAGAAGAUGGAUUGUAGAGUUUGUGAUAUUCCUGACUUUAAUUCUAUUACUUUACAUGACUCUUCUAGUUUUUUAUAUCGUGAUGUUGUAGUUUAUUUUGAUAUUAUUUUUGUUGAUGAUAUUGCUAUUCCAGAUAGUCUUGAUGUUGCAGGUAUAGGAGAUGAUGAUGGAAGUGUAGGGGAAACCUAAGAAUCACUUCCAAUGACUAUUUUAUCAUUUAAGCUAGUUGAGUCUACUAUUCUACUUAAUGACGAUGGAAGUGUAGGAGAAACUCAAGAAUCACUCUCGUUGAUUGUUCCUGAUCCAGAGCUUGAUCUUUUAUCUAACCAAGAAAAUAUUGCAUUCACUGAUUUAGAACCUCUAGAUACCUUUCAAGAUGGUAAGGUUGAUAUUUCUUCUGAAUCUUUAGGAAAUUUCAUGGAGGUAAUUCAUUUUAAUUGUAUUAAAUGUGACACAUCUUUUGAUUCAUGCUUUGUUGAUUUUGUUAUUAUUUAUAGUCUAUCUUACAUAGUAUGCGUGCAAGAAUUGCAUCCUCUUUUUAGUAUAUAGGAUUUCUUCAGACAUUUCAUUUGCAGUCAUUCACACAAGGAUGCAUUCUAUCACUUGAUGAAAGCCCUAACAUUCUAUGCAAUAAUCAAGCUUAUGGAGUGGAUAUUUCAAAUGAACCAUCUCUUACCACUUCCAGAUUGGUUGUUGAAGCUAAAUCGACUCCGAUCGCCAGAAUUUUAGGGGAGUCUGUUCCAUCCUACUUUUUCUUUUUUCUUUCUGUUUGUAUAUAUGUCUUUACUUUCUUUGCUUUGUUUGCGUUAUUUGCUUUUGUUUGGUUGUUUAUUUUUAGUUUGUCUUAUCAGUUUUUAUAAUAAAUUCUCUAUGUAUUUUUUUAUUAUCUUAGAAAUUAUAAAAGUUAGUUAAAUUUGAUUGUCAAGUUUGAUGAUUUAUUGUUAUGAUUGUAUUCUUGGAUUGCAUAAAUUCUCUAUGCAUGAUUGAUUUAGAAAUAAAGAGUACAAAAAAACCUUAUAUAGUUAGUUACAAGAAAAACCUAAACCCUAAAUUGAAAUGAUAAAAGAUUAAAUUGUCCUAAAGGUCAUAAAUAAAUAAUUCUAAUAAAACUAUAUAAUCUAACAAAUAUCAUGUUAUAGUAGUUACGGAUUAUAAUUAUUAUAGCAGGAUAAUUUAUCUCUCAUCAAUACUAAUUAAUAUUAUUUUAGUAGUUAUAUAAAUUUUAACGGUUACAACUGUAUAGUAUACUUAUAGUAGCGGGAUUGUAGAUAUUAUAUGAUCAUGUCUGAAACUGAUGGAGAUGGUGCACUGGACAGGUGGCUUUGAUAUUGAAUGGGAGAAGACUUCUGCACCGAGGAGAGACUCGUUUCUCUCUGCGCACACCAAAGAGAAAGCAAAGGGAACGUUAGAGCAAGAAUAAGGGAAGAGUUCCCUAGCGCAGGCCCUCCGACGCUCAAGUUAGUAUAUUGAUUGAGCGGGACAAUGGAGAAGAAUGUAGUAAAAUGCGUGUGUGUAAGUGAGAUUGUUAUAAAAGCGUGUACCUUAUCAACGGAGAAACCCCCUUUAUAUA
Long non-coding RNA from Zingiber officinale, 4024 nucleotides. RefSeq lists it as uncharacterized. The record is from RefSeq and is a predicted model, not a curated record. The transcript is spliced from 2 exons. Lineage: Eukaryota; Viridiplantae; Streptophyta; Magnoliopsida; Zingiberales; Zingiberaceae.